UAGAUGGAUGCCUGCUGGUUUAGGCGCCUAGCUGUUAACUAGGACUUUGAGGGAUCGAGGCCCUCCUAUCUAU
This 73-nucleotide transfer RNA is filed under the name Gymnothorax favagineus (laced moray). Its description in RNAcentral is "tRNA-Asn". Lineage: Eukaryota; Metazoa; Chordata; Actinopteri; Anguilliformes; Muraenidae. The record is from RNAcentral.